Molecule: ribosomal RNA, 252 nt
Filed under: uncultured bacterium
Lineage: Bacteria
Description: partial 16S ribosomal RNA
Rfam family: Bacterial small subunit ribosomal RNA
Source: RNAcentral
UACAGAGGUCUCAAGCGUUGUUCGGAUUCAUUGGGCGUAAAGGGUGCGUAGGCGGCGCGGUAAGUCGGGUGUGAAAUCUUGGAGCUUAACUCCGAAACUGCAUUCGAUACUGCCGUGCUUGAGGACUGGAGAGGAGACUGGAAUUUACGGUGUAGCGGUGAAAUGCGUAGAUAUCGUAAGGAAGACCAGUGGCGAAGGCGGGUCUCUGGACAGUUCCUGACGCUGAAGCACGAAGGCCAGGGAGCAAACGGG